Lotus japonicus is the source of this 388-nucleotide long non-coding RNA. RefSeq lists it as uncharacterized. The record is from RefSeq and is a predicted model, not a curated record. The transcript has 3 exons. NCBI's taxonomy places the organism in Eukaryota, Viridiplantae, Streptophyta, Magnoliopsida, Fabales, Fabaceae.
AACAUUGAAGAGAAUGAUGUAAUUAUGAUAUCAAUAUGUGAAGGAUCAUGAGUUGAAGUAUAGGGAUGUUGUGCACUUUAGGCCAGUUAGCACUCACAACAAUUUGGUUAAUGUUACCAUUACCCGUGGGCAGCCGUAUGUAUAAUAUAUGGCAUCUCAAUCAUUCUCUUCGACACAAAGAAGAAAUGGGAUUGCUGAUGGAAGGCUCUGUACUUGCGGCCUUACCCCAGCCCUAAAGACUUCAUGGUCCAGUAGUAAUUAUGGACGAAGAUAUUUUCAAUGUCCUUUGAAGGCUUGUGGGUAUUAUGAUUGGCUUGAUCCCCCUGUGCAUGGGCAAGUUGUUGAAGCCCCCAUGACUGCUGCUGUGACUCCUGGUCAAGUUGUUCAA